UACGGGGGGAGCAAGCGUUGUUCGGAUUUACUGGGCGUAAAGGGCGCGUAGGCGGCGUAACAAGUCACUUGUGAAAUCUCCGGGCUUAACCCGGAGCGGCCAAGUGAUACUGUUGUGCUAGAGUGCGGAAGGGGCUACUGGAAUUCUCGGUGUAGCGGUGAAAUGCGCAGAUAUCGGGAGGAACACCAAUGGCGAAGGCAGCUCGCUGGGACGUGACUGACGCUGAGACGCGAAAGCGUGGGGAGCAAACAGG
RNAcentral lists this ribosomal RNA (253 nucleotides) under uncultured bacterium. Its description in RNAcentral is "partial 16S ribosomal RNA". It matches the Rfam family "Bacterial small subunit ribosomal RNA", at positions 524 to 776 of the family's 1533-position model. The record is from RNAcentral.